GAAAACAAACAUAAGUAUCAUUUAGUUGCCUGGGAGAGAGUGUGCAGACCAAAAGAUUUAGGUGGUUUGGGGAUUUUAGAUUUGGAUUUUAUGAAUAUUGCACUGCUAUCCAAAUGGUUGUGGAAGCUUUUUAACGAAGAAAGCUUAUGGCAAAGAUUGUUGUGGGAUAAAUAUGUUAAGAACUCCACCCUCGGACAGGUUAAUAAGAAACAAGGUGACUCGCAUUUCUGGCAGGGAUUGCUAAGAUGCAAACCUUUGUUUUUGAACUGUUGCAGAUUUAAGGUGGGAAAUGGUAAGAAAACCAGAUUUUGGGAAGAUUUAUGGCUGGGGGAACAGAGGCUUUCUGACGCUUUUCCUGGUUUAUAUAAUAUCUCCCUAAAUCAACACAUUACAGUACAUGAAGUUAUUUCCUCCAAAAUGUCUAUUCUUCGUUUUAGAAGGGCUUUGGUGGGGCAAAGAGAAAUUCAAUGGCGGGACAUGACUGAAUUGUGUAGACUAGUGAAGUUAACCGAGGAGAGUGAUAAAUUACACUAG
Molecule: ribosomal RNA, 534 nt
Filed under: Triticum aestivum (bread wheat)
Lineage: Eukaryota; Viridiplantae; Streptophyta; Magnoliopsida; Poales; Poaceae
Description: partial small subunit ribosomal RNA
Source: RNAcentral